Molecule: ribosomal RNA, 433 nt
Filed under: uncultured bacterium
Lineage: Bacteria
Description: partial 16S ribosomal RNA
Rfam family: Bacterial small subunit ribosomal RNA
Source: RNAcentral
AACGAACGCUGGCGGCAUGCCUAACACAUGCCAGUCGAACGAGACCUUCGGGCUUGGUGGCGCACGGGUGCGUAACGGGUGGGGACAUGCCCUUGGGUUCGGCAUAACUCCCCGAAAGGGGUGCUAAUACCGGAUCUUGUCUUCGGACCAAAGAUUUAUCGCCCUUGGGUGGGCCCGCGUUGGCUUAGCUAGUGGGGAGGGUAAAAGCCUACCAAGGCGACGAUACAUAACUGGUCUGAGAGGAUGAUCAGCCACACUGGGACUGAGACACGGCCCAGACUCCUACGGGAGGCAGCAGUGGGGAAUAUUGGACAAUGGGCGAAAGCCUGAUCCAGCAAUGCCGCGUGAGUGAUGAAGGCCUUAGGGUUGUAAAGCUCUUUUACCCGGGAUGAUAAUGACAGUACCGGGAGAAUAAGCACCGGCUAACUCCGUG